ACGAACCGUGCGAACGUUGUUCGGAAUCACUGGGCUUAAAGGGCGCGUAGGCGGGCCGCCGCGUCCGGGGUGAAAUCCCCCCGCUCAACGGGGGAACGGCCUCGGAUACGGGCGAUCUGGAGGCGGGUAGGGGCACGCGGAACUGUGGGUGGAGCGGUGAAAUGCGUUGAGAUCCACAGGAACUCCGGUGGCGAAGGCGGCGUGCUGGACCCGAUCUGACGCUGAGGCGCGAAAGCCAGGGGAGCGAACGGGA
RNAcentral lists this ribosomal RNA (253 nucleotides) under uncultured prokaryote. RNAcentral's name for it is "partial 16S ribosomal RNA". It matches the Rfam family "Bacterial small subunit ribosomal RNA", at positions 525 to 777 of the family's 1533-position model. The record is from RNAcentral.